Molecule: non-coding RNA, 439 nt
Filed under: Dictyocaulus viviparus (bovine lungworm)
Lineage: Eukaryota; Metazoa; Nematoda; Chromadorea; Rhabditida; Metastrongylidae
Description: Eukaryotic small subunit ribosomal RNA
Rfam family: Eukaryotic small subunit ribosomal RNA
Source: Rfam by way of RNAcentral
UACCUUAUUGAUUCUGUUCGCGCUAAAUGUUCAGCUAAAAGACUGAGCUAUGCAUAUCGAGUUCAACUUUGGAAUCAAACUGCGAACGAGUCAUAAUAACUGAUGAUAUCUCUUAGGAAUUGUUUGGAUGGAUUACUGCGGCAAUUUUAGAAUUAAUACAUGCGACAAAACUUAACUUUUGCAACGGUGCAUAUACAUAUUAGAGCUAAUCAGUCAUCUUCAGAUGGUAUAGUUUGCAGACUUUGAAUAACGCAGCAUAUUCCGAGUAUUGUCUGCCCUAUUAACCGGAUUGUAGUCUAUUGGUCUACCAUGGUUACUACGGAUAACGGAGAAUGAGGGUUAGACUCCGGAGAGGGAGCCCUUAGAAACGACUACUACAUCCAAAGAAGGAAGCGGAAGCAAAAACUAUUCAAUCUUGAGGAGGUGAGAUAGUGACUAG